CUACUACUGAAGAGUUCCAUAAUAGGACGAAACGACCAUCAAGUAC
This 46-nucleotide non-coding RNA is filed under the name Schistosoma margrebowiei. The record is from RNAcentral. Lineage: Eukaryota; Metazoa; Platyhelminthes; Trematoda; Strigeidida; Schistosomatidae.